Molecule: ribosomal RNA, 693 nt
Filed under: Triticum aestivum (bread wheat)
Lineage: Eukaryota; Viridiplantae; Streptophyta; Magnoliopsida; Poales; Poaceae
Description: partial small subunit ribosomal RNA
Source: RNAcentral
AUGUUCGAGCUGGUGACCAGGAAAUGCCUGGGUUUCGAUUCCACAAAGUCCAGGGAGCUGAGAAGCAAGUUCGACACGCUUUUCUCAGGGCUCUUCUCCUUCCCUAUAUAUUUCCCUGGGACACCAUUUUACCGAUGCAUGCAGGCACGGAAAAAUAUUCACAAGACACUGCGGGAUACGUUGGCAGAGAGGUUAAGUGCACCAGGGAAGAAACAUGGCGACCUCCUCGACAUAAUCGUCGAGGAGCUGCAGGGUGAAGAGCCAUCAAUAAGUGAGGAUUUUGCUAUUGAUAUGCUCUCCACCUUGUUGUUCGCCAGCGUCUUCACGCUGUCAGGAACCAUCGCUGUAGCAUUCAAGUCACUCCAUGACAACCCGGACGUUGUCCACGCGCUCCAGAAGGAGAACCGAGCUAUGCUCAAUGGUCGAAAGGGUGGGCGCUCCGGGCUCACAUGGGAGGAGUACAAGUCAUUGACAUUCACUAAUCAGGUGACCAAUGAGAUCAUUCGAAUAAGCAAUGCCGCACUUGUAGUAUUUAGGAAAGCUCUUACAGAUGCACAAGUCAAUGGCUAUACAAUUCCUGCUGGAUGGCUGGUCAUAGUCAACCCCAUGGCAGUUCAUCUGAACGGAGAAUUGUUCGAAGAUCCACUCAAAUUUAACCCAUGGAGGUGGAUGAAAUCGAAAAACAUAGGAUGA